AACUCAAAAUACCUUACUAAUGAAUCCCGCGGAAAGCCAACAGCAUCAAAAACCAACAGCAAAGAAACAAGGAGCAAGCAAUAGCAUCCCCUUGCCUCUCCCUCUCGCUAACCAAUCAAUCAACCAAAUCCCAUCACUCGAACAAAGCUAGCGCAGAGGCAGCAAGAAACCUCCCGGGCAGACGUGCGCGCAGAUUGCUUCAAAGCAAACCUAGCUUGCUUGACUUCGUCGAUCGAGCAACUGAUCAAUCUUAUACCUACGGAUCACCACGAGAGGCAAAGCUUAGCUAGCUAGGCACUCGCAGCGAGCGAUCGAGGCGAGGCGAAGGCUGCAGCCAUGCUGGAGCUGCUGGUGGUGGGCUGCAGCAGUGUGGUGCUGCUCCUCCACGGCGCCAACUUCCUCCUCCGCGCGCUCUUCGCUCGCCGCGGCGCCGUCGCGCGCCCCAUCAGCUUCCUCGGGUUCGUCGCGUGAGCGAGUGAUGGAUCUCAUCGACGGAUCGACCCUGUGCCGGUGCCGCACACCCCAAGGCCAGCGACGGAUCAAGUAGUGGACGACCGUAUAAUAGUACUCCGAUCGACCAACCGAGAUAUGUAAAAUUCGUGAACAACCAAGAUGUGCGCGGUUACGCGUACAUGUACAUGUAGUAGGCCUAGGCCACCUAGCACGGCAGCAGUAGCAUACAUCGAACGGAUUGAUGCAUAUGAUUGACCAAUGACCGAUUUCUCCC
This is a long non-coding RNA of Oryza brachyantha (malo sina), 727 nucleotides long. RefSeq lists it as uncharacterized. NCBI's taxonomy places the organism in Eukaryota, Viridiplantae, Streptophyta, Magnoliopsida, Poales, Poaceae. The record is from RefSeq and is a predicted model, not a curated record. The transcript has 2 exons.